This 444-nucleotide ribosomal RNA is filed under the name uncultured bacterium. Its description in RNAcentral is "bacterial SSU rRNA". It matches the Rfam family "Bacterial small subunit ribosomal RNA", at positions 29 to 506 of the family's 1533-position model. The record is from RNAcentral.
AUGAACGCUGGCGGCGUGUCUAAGGCAUGCAAGUCGAAUGGGUUUAGACCCAUGGCAAACGGGUGAGUAACACAUUGGUAACUUACCUCGAAGUUCGGCAUAACCCUCCGAAAGGAGGAAUAAUACCGAAUGUGGUCACUGGACAAAUGUCUGGUGAGUAAAGAUUUAUCGCUUCGAGAGAGACCUAUGGCUUAUCAGCUAGUUGGUGAGGUAACGGCCCACCAAGGCAAUGACGAGUAGCGGGUGUGAGAGCACGACCCGCCUCACUGGGACUGAGACACUGCCCAGACUCCUACGGGAGGCUGCAGUCAAGAAUAUUCCACAAUGGACGAAAGUCUGAUGGAGCGACGCCGCGUGACUGAUGACGCCCUUCGGGGUGUAAAGGUCUUUUAUUAGGGAAGAACUUUUGACGGUACCUAAUGAAUAAGGGGUUGCUAACUCUGU